RNAcentral lists this ribosomal RNA (253 nucleotides) under uncultured bacterium. RNAcentral's name for it is "partial 16S ribosomal RNA". It matches the Rfam family "Bacterial small subunit ribosomal RNA", at positions 524 to 776 of the family's 1533-position model. The record is from RNAcentral.
UACAGAGGGUGCAAGCGUUAAUCGGAGUUACUGGGCGUAAAGGGCGCGUAGGCGGUCAUUUAAGUUAGAUGUGAAAUCCCUGGGCUUAACCUAGGAACUGCAUCUGAUACUGGGUGACUGGAGUAUUGUAGAGGGUAGUGGAAUUUCCGGUGUAGCGGUGAAAUGCGCAGAUAUCAGGAGGAACACCGAUGGCGAAGGCAGGUCUCUGGGCCACUACUGACGCUGAGAAGCGAAAGCAUGGGGAGCGAACAGG